This 216-nucleotide long non-coding RNA is filed under the name Carica papaya (papaya). RNAcentral's name for it is "long non-coding RNA (CPAP_LNC013943)". The record is from RNAcentral. Lineage: Eukaryota; Viridiplantae; Streptophyta; Magnoliopsida; Brassicales; Caricaceae.
UAGAUAUCUGUUAGGGCCACUAUGGCUGGUACGACCGUAAUCAUAGAUCGUACCAUGGUUUGGCCAGCCAGAAAUGGGCCUGAGAAAAAUGUCGUAUUUAUAUCUGAUCUGAUCAUUCCACUUGGGUGUUUGAAAUCUAUAUCUCCCCUCAAAGAUAGAAGUUGUAACGACUUCGCAAAGCAUGACACAAAAAUCUAAGCAUUUCAUGAUUUAUUU